UCAUAUUUGUUCCAUUUUCUGUUUACAAAAAAUCCCAUAGCGAGAAAAACCACAUAUCCUGCAAAACUUCCGUUGCCGUAAGAAACCUAUAAUGGCCGAUUCCACUCUCAAAUUGGGGCAACAGAAAUUCCGAGCAAACCCUAACCCUUCCUUCCAUAAGAGCUUUUCCAUUCAAAAACCCAUUUCUAGCGCCUAUAAAACAACCACGAUGAUCCCCGACGAUGCCGCUGAAGCAACGGUUGCAAAACCGAAAUGAAGCGCUUUCCAACAAGAGAGGGUGAUGAUGAAGUGACGAAACGAGAUUUACUGGAAUCAACACUUUGAAGGAGCCAAAAUUCACCGGAUCUUACCUCCAACUCUUUUACUGGAAAUUUACCUGCAAUGCAACUGAAGCAACCUACCAAAACCAAUACAUCUCUCUUUCACAAACUUUUCGUUCUCUCUCUCGUCUCUUGCAUUCCGCCUUCCAACUUCAACCCUUUCCACCACAAUUAUCAACCGUACAACAUUAUCUCAUCUCUCUCAUCAGAUUUGGAUAUAUAUUCCUUCCCUUCAUUCAGCUCUAAGUUCUUCGCUUUUUGUCCAAGAGUGUGGAGCUGAGCGGUGCUGCCAAAGAGCUUCUAAAAGAGAGUUUGACUGGGCCAAAACAACUUCAUCUAACCAGCAUGUUUGAUUGGGCCGAAAUUGAGAACUCUAAUAGGUUUCUUGUCUCUAAUGCAACAUAUGAUUGUUUACCAUUACAUGAGAGAUGACAACGAAAAUCUGAUGUUUGUAGCCUCAAAGUAGUUCUUCUAGAACUUCUAACAGCAAGAAAAGCAACAGACAAAACAAGCACACAAUCUGUGGAGAUUUGCGGUUUUGGUGUGAUUUCCGAUUUAACGACUUCUCAAUAGCUCGAUUUUAGGGCAAGGAGUGAAGAGAGACCACGUGGAGGAAGUAUUAGUUCAUUUUUAGAUCCAAUCAUACAAAACAGAAUCCUCACAUAUGUUUGUCUUCCAUAAAUAUUGAUAUAUAAUGUGAUUAAUAAUUUAUUACAUAUGAAUCUGUCAAAUUUGAGAUGGCAUCAUGUUGGUGCUGUCGUGUUUGAUAUAUUUGUUUGUGUCAAUAAUUCAUAGCCCUCAAUAGCCUUUAUUUAGAAACACUUUGUAAUAAAUAGCGUAACGCAAAAGUUUGUUGCUGGAUGAGAAAUGAUUCAUCUUACAUAAAACAGUUCAUGAAAGAAACCAUGAGUAGAACAAUCCAAAUAUUGCACUGUGUUAUAAUGGUUGUAGCAUUAUUUAUGUAACAUUCUACUUUCACCGUGCCUCCAAAGUCACUUAAACAAAAUAUAGCUCAUAUAAAAUUGAUGCAACAAAAAUAGUUCAUGAAGUCGAAUAUUAUCAUCGCUUAAGUUGCCAAGG
Molecule: long non-coding RNA, 1400 nt
Organism: Vicia villosa (hairy vetch)
Lineage: Eukaryota; Viridiplantae; Streptophyta; Magnoliopsida; Fabales; Fabaceae
Exons: 6
Source: RefSeq, a predicted model, not a curated record